CAGUCGCCGCGGUAAUACAGAGGGUGCAAGCGUUAAUCGGAAUUACUGGGCGUAAAGCGCGCGUAGGUGGUUUGUUAAGUUGGAUGUGAAAUCCCCGGGCUCAACCUGGGAACUGCAUUCAAAACUGACUGACUAGAGUAUGGUAGAGGGUGGUGGAAUUUCCUGUGUAGCGGUGAAAUGCGUAGAUAUAGGAAGGAACACCAGUGGCGAAGGCGACCACCUGGACUAAUACUGACACUGAGGUGCGAAAGCGUGGGGAGCAAACAGGAUUAGAUACCCGGGUAGUCCCUGUCUCUUAUAA
This 301-nucleotide ribosomal RNA is filed under the name uncultured bacterium. RNAcentral's name for it is "partial 16S ribosomal RNA". It matches the Rfam family "Bacterial small subunit ribosomal RNA", at positions 509 to 809 of the family's 1533-position model. The record is from RNAcentral.